Molecule: ribosomal RNA, 440 nt
Filed under: uncultured bacterium
Lineage: Bacteria
Description: partial 16S ribosomal RNA
Rfam family: Bacterial small subunit ribosomal RNA
Source: RNAcentral
CCUACGGGGGGCAGCAGUGGGGAAUAUUGCACAAUGGGGGAAACCCUGAUGCAGCAACGCCGCGUGAGUGAAGAAGUAUUUCGGUAUGUAAAGCUCUAUCAGCAGGGAAGAAGAUGACGGUACCUGAGUAAGAAGCCCCGGCUAACUACGUGCCAGCAGCCGCGGUAAUACGUAGGGGGCAAGCGUUAUCCGGAUUUACUGGGGGUAAAGGGAGCGUAGACGGUGAGACAAGUCUGAAGUGAAAGCCCGGGGCUCAACCCCGGGACUGCUUUGGAAACGGCCUGACUGGAGUGCGGGAGAGGCAAGCGGAAUUCCUAGUGUAGCGGUGAAAUGCAUAGAUAUCACGCAGAACUCCGAUUGCGAAGGCAGCAUACCGGCGCCCGACUGACGCUGAGGCACGAAAGCGUGGGUAUCGAACAGGAGUAGAUACCCCGGUAGUC